Long non-coding RNA from Meriones unguiculatus (Mongolian gerbil), 523 nucleotides. RefSeq lists it as uncharacterized. The transcript is spliced from 2 exons. NCBI's taxonomy places the organism in Eukaryota, Metazoa, Chordata, Mammalia, Rodentia, Muridae. The record is from RefSeq and is a predicted model, not a curated record.
UAUCUCCCUCCCUCCCUCCCUCCCUCCCUCCCUCCCUAUCCCAGACUCAGAGAUCUGCCUGCCUGCUCCAUUUUGAUUUUUUUUUUUUUAACUGAUAUGUAAUGUCUAGGUAAAGGUUGAGCAUGUUACCUUUCUCUUUUUUCUCUCCCCGCCAUCAUAACAGUGUGCGGCGGUGCUUGCUUGCUUGCUCGCUCGCUCCUCGAGGGUUCCCUGACCACCCUGGCGAACAGGACAGGACGGAGGCGAGAAUCAAAGGCACGGCCAGAAAGAGGAGUUUGAGGUGUGGGACUGCUAUGCCCCGGCACAGUCAGCUGGACUGACUGACUGCCCUCCUUCUCGAGGCGGGACGCAAUCACGCAUACAAACAAAAGACUACCUCUUUCCAGCAGAAGAAGAUGGCCCUUCCUUCCUCUUCCUCUUGACUCACAGGUGGUACUCUAUCUACCUGCUUCCCAGCCCACCUGAGCCACCCCCCCCCCUUCACUUUACGCUCAAUUACAAUAAAUAAAUGAAUGACUACGAA